This 301-nucleotide ribosomal RNA is filed under the name uncultured bacterium. RNAcentral's name for it is "partial 16S ribosomal RNA". It matches the Rfam family "Bacterial small subunit ribosomal RNA", at positions 509 to 809 of the family's 1533-position model. The record is from RNAcentral.
CAGUCGCCGCGGUAAUACGAAGGGGGCUAGCGUCGCUCGGAAUGACUGGGCGUAAAGGGCGCGUAGGCGGCUUGGUAAGUUAGAGGUGAAAGCCUGGAGCUCAACUCCAGAAUUGCCUUUAAGACUGCCGAGCUAGCAGGUGAGAGAGGUAAGUGGAAUUCCGAGUGUAGAGGUGAAAUUCGUAGAUAUUCGGAAGAACACCAGUGGCGAAGGCGGCUUACUGGCUCAUACUGGACGCUGAGGUGCGAAAGCGUGGGGAGCAAACAGGAUUAGAUACCCCAGUAGUCCCUGUCUCUUAUAU